Molecule: unclassified non-coding RNA, 292 nt
Filed under: plant metagenome
Description: partial contains small subunit ribosomal RNA, internal transcribed spacer 1, and 5.8S ribosomal RNA
Source: RNAcentral
UUUCCGUAGGUGAACCUGCGGAAGGAUCAUUAUUGAAUAAACCUGAUGUGGUUGUAGCUGGCCCUUUCGGGAGCAUGUGCACACCUGUCGUCUUUAUCUUUCCACCUGUGCACCUUUUGUAGACCUGGAUGUAACACUUUCCGAGGCAACUCGGUCGGGAGGAAUGCUGUCAGCUUUCCUUGAAUGUCCAGGCCUAUGUUUUCAUAUACCCCAAAGAAUGUAACAGAAUGUAUUAUUGGGCCUUGUGCCUAUAAACUAUAUACAACUUUCAGCAACGGAUCUCUUGGCUCUC